Molecule: ribosomal RNA, 723 nt
Filed under: uncultured Bacilli bacterium
Lineage: Bacteria; Bacillati; Bacillota; Bacilli
Description: bacterial SSU rRNA
Rfam family: Bacterial small subunit ribosomal RNA
Source: RNAcentral
ACGAACGCUGGCGGCGUGCUUAAUACAUGCAAGUCGAACGCUGUGUCUGUCACCGGAGCUUGCUCCACCGAAAGAAAAAGAGUGGCGAACGGGUGAGUAACACGUGGGUAACCUGCCCAUCAGAAGGGGAUAACACUUGGAAACAGGUGCUAAUACCGUAUAACACUAUUUUCCGCAUGGAAGAAAGUUGAAAGGCGCUUUUGCGUCACUGAUGGAUGGACCCGCGGUGCAUUAGCUAGUUGGUGAGGUAACGGCUCACCAAGGCAACGAUGCAUAGCCGACCUGAGAGGGUGAUCGGCCACACUGGGACUGAGACACGGCCCAGACUCCUACGGGAGGCAGCAGUAGGGAAUCUUCGGCAAUGGACGAAAGUCUGACCGAGCAACGCCGCGUGAGUGAAGAAGGUUUUCGGAUCGUAAAACUCUGUUGUUAGAGAAGAACAAGGAUGAGAGUAAAAUGUUCAUCCCUUGACGGUAUCUAACCAGAAAGCCACGGCUAACUACGUGCCAGCAGCCGCGGUAAUACGUAGGUGGCAAGCGUUGUCCGGAUUUAUUGGGCGUAAAGCGAGCGCAGGCGGUUUCUUAAGUCUGAUGUGAAAGCCCCCGGCUCAACCGGGGAGGGUCAUUGGAAACUGGGAGACUUGAGUGCAGAAGAGGAGAGUGGAAUUCCAUGUGUAGCGGUGAAAUGCGUAGAUAUAUGGAGGAACACCAGUGGCGAAGGCGG